GAUGAACGCUGGCGGCGUGCCUAAUACAUGCAAGUCGAGCGAACGGACGAGACGCUUGCUUCUCUGAUGUUAGCGGCGGACGGGUGAGUAACACGUGGAUAACCUACCUAUAAGACUGGUAUAACUUCGGGAAACCGGCGCUAAUACCGUAUAAUCUUUUGAACCGCAUGGUUCAAAAGUGAAAUACGGUCUUGCUGUCACUUCUCGCUGCAUCCGCGCUGCAUUAGCUAGUUGUUACGGUAACGGCUUACCACGGCAACGAUGCAUAGCCGACCGGAGAGGCGGAUAGGCCGCAUGGGAAGGGAGACAGGGACAAGAGGCCUAAGGGAGGCAGCAGUAGGGAAUGGGAGGCAAUAGGCGAAAGAAUGACGGAGCAAGGCGGCGUGAGUGAUGAAGGUGUUGGGAGCGUGAAAAUCGGUUAUGAGGGAAGAACAGAUGUGGAAGGAACUGUGCACAGAUUGACGGUAACUAAUCAGAAAGCCACGGCUAACUACGUG
This 497-nucleotide ribosomal RNA is filed under the name uncultured bacterium. Its description in RNAcentral is "partial 16S ribosomal RNA". It matches the Rfam family "Bacterial small subunit ribosomal RNA", at positions 28 to 507 of the family's 1533-position model. The record is from RNAcentral.